GGGGAUGUUUUUUGGAUUCGACAGGUAUAGGUCGAGUUUCGACUGCGUUUCGAAGGUUGCGUCUUCGUAAAAACGCUCAGUUUUAAAUUAUAACUGCAAACAAUAAUUCAAACUCUUACGCAGUUGCUGCCUAACAAGUAGCACGCGUAAGAUCGGAAGAGCACACGUCUGAACUCCAGUCACACACAG
RNAcentral lists this transfer-messenger RNA (189 nucleotides) under Limosilactobacillus pontis. RNAcentral describes it as "partial transfer-messenger RNA". It matches the Rfam family "transfer-messenger RNA", at positions 1 to 185 of the family's 374-position model. Rfam says of the family: Bacterial tmRNA, also known as 10Sa RNA or SsrA, is named for its dual tRNA and mRNA-like properties. Its role is to liberate the mRNA from a stalled ribosome. Lineage: Bacteria; Bacillati; Bacillota; Bacilli; Lactobacillales; Lactobacillaceae. The record is from RNAcentral.